CUGAGCUCAUCGUUUUAUAUUACCAUGGCAUCCAAAACAGCUUUCUUCUACUUUCUGGUGCUGGCUUGUUUUGUCCAUUCUCUUCAGUCUGCAAUAGUGAAGAGAGAGGCUAACGAUGCACCUGGCUCCGAAUCUCCACUCAACAUAGAGAACCCUCUUAAUAAAUUUGAGGAAGUUAUUGGAUCGCUGAAUCCGAAUACUUUCUUCAACAUUUUCAACAAAUUUCUUCAACCUCCUAAGAAUUAAAAAUAAUUAUGAUCUAUGGCGUAUAAAAAACGGACAAUCAUGAUUAUGUUUUGAUAUUGAAAAUAAAAAUGUUCAUAACGUA
Molecule: long non-coding RNA, 328 nt
Organism: Danaus plexippus (monarch butterfly)
Lineage: Eukaryota; Metazoa; Arthropoda; Insecta; Lepidoptera; Nymphalidae
Exons: 2
Source: RefSeq, a predicted model, not a curated record